Molecule: long non-coding RNA, 284 nt
Filed under: Helianthus annuus (common sunflower)
Lineage: Eukaryota; Viridiplantae; Streptophyta; Magnoliopsida; Asterales; Asteraceae
Description: hypothetical non coding rna
Source: RNAcentral
UUUCUCAUCUUCCUACUCUCUCUAUCUUUUCAAAUCCAAACUACGAUGGUGUGCUCCGAUGGUGUGCUUGCUUUGGCGAUGAUUCAAACCAUGACUACAGAUCUGAAGAGGAUUGAGAUCAGGAAAGGAAUGACAAAGAUUGAAGCUGCUACGCCUGGGACAUGACCGUUUGACGGCUUUGUCAUCCACAACACUGUUGCUGGAAUCCUCCAUUUUAGGUGCCUCUUCUUCUCUUCUUUGUCCCUCAUAAUUGAUAAAAGGUUGUUCUAUUACCUAUUAGUGUU